Molecule: ribosomal RNA, 253 nt
Filed under: uncultured bacterium
Lineage: Bacteria
Description: partial 16S ribosomal RNA
Rfam family: Bacterial small subunit ribosomal RNA
Source: RNAcentral
UACGGGGGGGGUAAGCGUUGUUCGGAAUUACUGGGCGUAAAGGGCUCGUAGGCGGCCAACUAAGUCAUACGUGAAAUCCCUCAGCUUAACUGGGGAACUGGGUGUGAUACUGGAUGGCUUGGAUUUGGGAGAGGGAUGCGGAAUUCCAGGUGUAGCGGUGAAAUGCGUAGAUAUCUGGAGGAACACCGGUGGCGAAGGCGGCAUCCUGGACCAAUAUUGACGCUGAGGAGCGAAAGCCAGGGGAGCAAACGGG